GACGAACGCUGGCGGCGUGCUUAACACAUGCAAGUCGAACGGCAAGGCACUGCUUUUGUGGGGUGCUCGAGUGGCGAACGGGUGAGUAACACGUGAGUAACCUGCCCUUGACUUUGGGAUAACUUCAGGAAACUGGGGCUAAUACCGGAUAGGAGCUCCUGCUGCAUGGUGGGGGUUGGAAAGUUUCGGCGGUUGGGGAUGGAUUCGCGGCUUAUCAGCUUGUUGGUGGGGUAGUGGCUUACCACGGCUUUGACGGGUAGCCGGCCUGGGAGGGUGACCGGCCACAUUGGGACUGAGAUACGGCCCAGACUCCUACGGGAGGCAGCAGUGGGGAAUAUUGCACAAUGGGCGGAAGCCUGAUGCAGCAACGCCGCGUGCGGGAUGACGGCCUGCGGGUUGUAAACCGCUUUCGCCUGUGACGAAGCGGGAGUGACGGUAAUGGGUAAAGAAGCACCGGCUAACUACGUG
RNAcentral lists this ribosomal RNA (468 nucleotides) under uncultured bacterium. RNAcentral's name for it is "partial 16S ribosomal RNA". It matches the Rfam family "Bacterial small subunit ribosomal RNA", at positions 28 to 507 of the family's 1533-position model. The record is from RNAcentral.